GGUUAGUACUUGGAUGGGAGACCGCCUGGGAAUACC
RNAcentral lists this non-coding RNA (36 nucleotides) under Sus scrofa (pig). Lineage: Eukaryota; Metazoa; Chordata; Mammalia; Artiodactyla; Suidae. The record is from RNAcentral.